GCCGUAGGUUGCAACUGGCGAGGGUGGAUCACCACCGGGGAGCAACCCGAAGUACCCGUGAGGCGUCGCCCGCCUGGGCGCCGGGC
This 86-nucleotide non-coding RNA is filed under the name Schaalia turicensis. Its description in RNAcentral is "Actinomyces turicensis ZTP sequence". It matches the Rfam family "ZMP/ZTP riboswitch aptamer (pfl RNA motif)". Rfam says of the family: Previously known as pfl RNA. ZMP is also known as AICAR. The record is from RNAcentral. RNAcentral also lists the same sequence under 1 other name. Lineage: Bacteria; Bacillati; Actinomycetota; Actinomycetes; Actinomycetales; Actinomycetaceae.